AGCAUGUGGUUUAAUUCGAAGCAACGCGAAGAACCUUACCAGGUCUUGACAUCCCUGACACCCGAGAGAUCGGGCGUUCCCCUUCGGGGGACAGGGUGACGAGGUGGUGCAUGGUUGUCGUCAGCUCGUGUCGUGAGAUGUUGGGUUAAGUCCCGCAACGAGCGCAACCCUCGACCUUAGUUGCCAGCAUUCAGUUGGGCACUCUAAGGUGACUGCCGGCUAAAAGUCGGAGGAAGGUGGGGAUGACGUCAAAUCAUCAUGCCCCUUAUGACCUGGGCUACACACGUGCUACAAUGGGCGGUACAAAGGGUCGCGAACCCGCGAGGGGGAGCCAAUCCCAAAAAGCCGCUCUCAGUUCGGAUUGCAGGCUGCAACUCGCCUGCAUGAAGCCGGAAUCGCUAGUAAUCGCGGAUCAGCAUGCCGCGGUGAAUACGUUCCCGGGCCUU
RNAcentral lists this ribosomal RNA (446 nucleotides) under uncultured Anoxybacillus sp. RNAcentral's name for it is "bacterial SSU rRNA". It matches the Rfam family "Bacterial small subunit ribosomal RNA", at positions 936 to 1382 of the family's 1533-position model. The record is from RNAcentral. Lineage: Bacteria; Bacillati; Bacillota; Bacilli; Caryophanales; Anoxybacillaceae.